Wasmannia auropunctata (little fire ant) is the source of this 1123-nucleotide long non-coding RNA. RefSeq lists it as uncharacterized. Lineage: Eukaryota; Metazoa; Arthropoda; Insecta; Hymenoptera; Formicidae. The transcript is spliced from 3 exons. The record is from RefSeq and is a predicted model, not a curated record.
GACAUCAGAUUUAGUACAAGUAAAUGGUUCAUUUUGUUCAGUAAAAUAUUUAGUUGAAAGUAUAUAUAUUUAUUCUAGCCUCUGUACUUUCUGUUCUUACUGGUAUUCUGAUUGGUUGAAUAUAGACCAAUAUAUGAAAAUGCAGACUGAAAUCCGAAGUUUUCGCUAAAAAAAGUGCUAGUGCUAGUGCAAGUGCUUUCACUAAAAGUGCUACUGUGUUUCGUAAACAUUAUAUACACAUGUAUUAAUGAUAUUUACGUAUACGUAUGUGAUAUACAGGGCAAUUAUCGUAUCCAACUUGCAAGAGACUACAUAUUUCCUCAAAGAUGUGUCAUAAACGCUAUAAGUUGUGACGUCCUCUCAUUGAUCGUCACAAUUAUGUAACAUAUACAUAUAUUAUCGACGAUGUCUCGAAUAAAGUACGUAAUAAAUUAAUGUACCAUUAAAAUAUGAUACAAUGUAUUGCAAGCCUCUAGUACAAUAGCAAUUAACGGAAGGCACGUUUCUAGAAUGCAAAAGUAACCAAUUAUUGCAGAGGGCAAUAGUAUCAAUAUAUCUGCUUUUUAUAUCUUAUUUUUAAUACUAAAGUUUAUUAAAUGCAGAGAAUAUGUCCCGUUAAUAUAUACACAUGUAGCAGUAGACACUCCAAGUGAUUCGCUCAUUUACAGACAAACGAUUAUUUUUGGAUUUUAUGACACUAUGACAACAGAUCCAGUUUGAAAUCCCUUGUUGGCAAUACGGUGCAAGAUUACAUGGAAUAAAAGAAUUGUGAAGUCUACAAAACGUAACGCGAAAAUUUCUCGUAUCUCUUCUACUAUCUCAUUAUAUAAAGAACCUCCAUUUCUUUUCAUGAAUGCGGUCUUUCGUAACUGUCUCCGCUAUUCUUUUUAUUCUUUUUUUCGAACUUCUCGACUGAUUGUGAAUGCGGAGUCGAUUUUUCAACUAAAAUUGAACUUUUUCCUGAUUUUUCUACUUUGGAUGUAAAAGAUAUUCCAUACUUGUAUAAUUGUAACAUCUUAUUGAAAUAUGUAUUUCCAAAACGGGUAAUCCAUUUACUUCACUUACUCUUUUUACACACACACACACACACACACACACACACACACACACAAACACACUUUCA